GGGAUCUCAAUCUCCUUCAUGAAUUCAAUCUCAUCACUCAACUCCUCCACCGCUACCCUUUCAUCUCCAUCGACACUGAGUUCCCAGGCGUCCUCAUCCGCCCCACCCUCCACCGCCACCCUCUCCGCCCUUCCGAUCACUACCUCCUCCUCAAGUCCAACGUCGACGCUCUCAACCUAAUCCAACUCGGUCUCACCCUCUCCGACGCCCACGGCAACCUCCCCACACUCGGCACCAAAAACUCCUUCAUCUGGGAGUUCAAUUUCAGGGAUUUCGACGUUGCACGCGACCCCCACGCCCCGGAUUCCAUCGAGCUCUUGAAACAACAGGGGAUUGAUUUCCACCGGAACAGAACUCAUGGGGUUUGCUCCUCCCGGUUCGCCGACUUGGUGAUGUCAUCCGGUCUUUUGUGCAAUGACUCCCUCACUUGGGUUACCUUUCACAGCGCCUAUGACUUUGGUUACUUGGUUAAGAUUCUCACCCGGACCAAACUGCCGUCUCGGCUUCAGGAUUUCUU
This 517-nucleotide long non-coding RNA is filed under the name Cucumis sativus (cucumber). RNAcentral's name for it is "long non-coding RNA (CSAT_LNC002446)". The record is from RNAcentral. Lineage: Eukaryota; Viridiplantae; Streptophyta; Magnoliopsida; Cucurbitales; Cucurbitaceae.